CGGGAGGCAGCAGUGAGGAAUAUUGGUCAAUGGGCGGGAGCCUGAACCAGCCAAGUCGCGUGAGGGAAGACGGUCCUACGGAUUGUAAACCUCUUUUGCCGGGGAGCAACGGGGUCCUUGCGAGGGCCCGAUGAGAGUACCCGGAGAAAAAGCAUCGGCUAACUCCGUGCCAGCAGCCGCGGUAAUACGGAGGAUGCGAGCGUUAUCCGGAUUUAUUGGGUUUAAAGGGUGCGUAGGCGGGCUGUUAAGUCAGCGGUCAAAUGUCGGGGCUCAACCCCGGCCUGCCGUUGAAACUGGCGGCCUCGAGUGGGCGAGAAGUAUGCGGAAUGCGUGGUGUAGCGGUGAAAUGCAUAGAUAUCACGCAGAACUCCGAUUGCGAAGGCAGCAUACCGGCGCCCGACUGACGCUGAGGCACGAAAGCGUGGGUAUCGAACAGGAUUAGAUACCCUGGUAGUCCACGCAGUAAACGAUGAAUGCUAGCUGUCCGG
This 488-nucleotide ribosomal RNA is filed under the name uncultured bacterium. Its description in RNAcentral is "bacterial SSU rRNA". It matches the Rfam family "Bacterial small subunit ribosomal RNA", at positions 342 to 827 of the family's 1533-position model. The record is from RNAcentral.